AACGCGAAGAACCUUACCUGGCCUUGACAUCCUAGGAAUCCCGAAGAGAUUUGGGAGUGCCGCAAGGAGCCUAGAGACAGGUGCUGCAUGGCUGUCGUCAGCUCGUGUCGUGAGAUGUUGGGUUAAGUCCCGCAACGAGCGCAACCCUCGUCCUAUGUUGCCAGCGGGUAAUGCCGGGGACUCAUAGGAGACUGCCGGGGUCAACUCGGAGGAAGGUGGGGAUGACGUCAAGUCCUCAUGCCCCUUAUGUCUUGGGCUGCAAACAUGCUACAAUGGCCGGUACAAAGGGUUGCGAGACCGCAAGGUGGAGCGAAUCCCAAAAAGCCGGUCUCAGUUCGGAUUGGGGUCUGCAACUCGACCCCAUGAAGUCGGAGUCGCUAGUAAUCGCGAAUCAGCAACGUCGCGGUGAAUACGUUCCCGGGCCUUGUACACACCGAGACGAC
This 443-nucleotide ribosomal RNA is filed under the name uncultured bacterium. RNAcentral's name for it is "bacterial SSU rRNA". It matches the Rfam family "Bacterial small subunit ribosomal RNA", at positions 958 to 1398 of the family's 1533-position model. The record is from RNAcentral.